This is a long non-coding RNA of Gavialis gangeticus (Gharial), 121 nucleotides long. RefSeq lists it as uncharacterized. The transcript has 3 exons. NCBI's taxonomy places the organism in Eukaryota, Metazoa, Chordata, Crocodylia, Gavialidae. The record is from RefSeq and is a predicted model, not a curated record.
AGCAAUGUUAUUGUCUGGUGGAAUGGUACUGUGACAGAAGUUCUGCACAACAGGUUUCUGGAGCAGAGUGAAAAGGAAUUCUCCAAACCCCACAGCCCCCAGACCAACAAAGAUUAGUAAA